UUCGGAUCUAGUGGCGCACGGGUGAGUAACACGUGGGAACCUGCCUUUAGGUACGGAAUAACGUCUGGAAACGGACGCUAAUACCGUAUAUUUCCUCCGGGAAAAAGGUCCGCCGCCUAAAGAGGGGCCCGCGUCAGAUUAGCUUGUUGGUGGGGUAAUGGCCUACCAAGGCUACGAUCUGUAGUUGGUCUGAGAGGAUGAUCAGCCACACUGGGACUGAGACACGGCCCAGACUCCUACGGGAGGCAGCAGUGGGGAAUAUUGGACAAUGGGGGCAACCCUGAUCCAGCAAUGCCGCGUGUGUGAUGAAGGCCCUAGGGUUGUAAAGCACUUUCAACGGUGACGAUGAUGACGGUAACCGUAGAAGAAGCCCCGGCUAACUUCGUGCCAGCAGCCGCGGUAAUACGAAGGGGGCGAGCGUUGUUCGGAAUAACUGGGCGUAAAGGGCGCGUAGGCGGUCUAUCUAGUUGGGCGUGAAAGCCCUGGGCUCAACCCAGGAAUUGCGUCCAAUACUAAUAGACUAGAGACCGAGAGAGGAUAGUGGAAUUUCCAGUGUAGAGGUGAAAUUCGUAGAUAUUGGAAAGAACACCAGUGGCGAAAGCGACUAUCUGGCUCGGUUCUGACGCUGAGGCGCGAAAGCGUGGGGAGC
RNAcentral lists this ribosomal RNA (649 nucleotides) under uncultured marine bacterium. Its description in RNAcentral is "bacterial SSU rRNA". It matches the Rfam family "Bacterial small subunit ribosomal RNA", at positions 85 to 769 of the family's 1533-position model. The record is from RNAcentral.